UUGCUCUUGUCUGCAUCAUGAACCAACAGCAUCAGAUCGAGGGCGAUCUGUCUGCCUUUCUGUCCUGGUCUUACGAGCGAGGUGGUAACAGGAAGAAGUCCGUCAACCAGUCGGUGAGGUAGAGCACACGAGAGGCAGGGCACACGCUUGGGUGUUCCUUCUGCUAUUCACACAGUGGUUCAAUUAGAAAUUACAUAAGCUGUGUAGGAGGAAGCUGUCAUGGUCUACGGUGGGUGGCUGGAGUUUCCAUUAGGCUCCUGAACUGACCUGGGAUCCGCCCCUGGGCAGGGCCAACUCCAGCUCCUGCACACCUGGAGCCUAUUGCAGGCUAUCAAGCCAGAGGGAUUUAAACCACACAUCGAUGUUCACUCACUGCCAGUUCGUCAUCAACCCAUUCGCUGUACCCACCCUGGCUCACUCCACCUCCGGACUCGGAAUACCUAGUGAUCAUUUUGGAAAUCCCUCUGUGCCUCACCUGCCUGCCCUCCUGCCAUCACACUCCAUCUGGAGCCCCGGAUCUCAGGUCAGCCUUUCCACGCCACUCAGCCUCCCCUGGAUCUUCAUCAUCCCCCUCUCAAACACUCCAGGUCCCUAACUGCAAAUGUGACUGUUCCCCACUCAGCUCCGUUCCACUUCUCAGGCCUCGUUCCCUCGCCCUAGCCACGUUCCCCUGGGCACGCCACACCAAGGCUCCACGUCUCGUCAUUUUCUGUCUUUGCCACGUUUCCCUUUUUUUUGUUCCCCU
Astatotilapia calliptera (eastern happy) is the source of this 745-nucleotide long non-coding RNA. NCBI's taxonomy places the organism in Eukaryota, Metazoa, Chordata, Actinopteri, Cichliformes, Cichlidae. The record is from Ensembl.